UCCAGCAUCUCUUCCUGGUGGC
This 22-nucleotide unclassified non-coding RNA is filed under the name Mus musculus (house mouse). Its description in RNAcentral is "oocyte_clustered_small_RNA13687". The record is from RNAcentral. Lineage: Eukaryota; Metazoa; Chordata; Mammalia; Rodentia; Muridae.